RNAcentral lists this ribosomal RNA (483 nucleotides) under uncultured bacterium. RNAcentral's name for it is "partial 16S ribosomal RNA". It matches the Rfam family "Bacterial small subunit ribosomal RNA", at positions 30 to 506 of the family's 1533-position model. The record is from RNAcentral.
AUUGAACGCUGGCGGCAGGCCUAACACAUGCAAGUCGAGCGGAUGAAGGGAGCUUGCUCCUGGAUUCAGCGGCGGACGGGUGAGUAAUGCCUAGGAAUCUGCCUGGUAGUGGGGGAUAACGUCCGGAAACGGGCGCUAAUACCGCAUACGUCCUGAGGGAGAAAGUGGGGGAUCUUCGGACCUCACGCUAUCAGAUGAGCCUAGGUCGGAUUAGCUAGUUGGUGGGGUAAAGGCCUACCAAGGCGACGAUCCGUAACUGGUCUGAGAGGAUGAUCAGUCACACUGGAACUGAGACACGGUCCAGACUCCUACGGGAGGCAGCAGUGGGGAAUAUUGGACAAUGGGCGAAAGCCUGAUCCAGCCAUGCCGCGUGUGUGAAGAAGGUCUUCGGAUUGUAAAGCACUUUAAGUUGGAAGGAAGGGCAGUAAGUUAAUACCUUGCUGUUUUGACGUUACCAACAGAAUAAGCACCGGCUAACUUCGU